Molecule: ribosomal RNA, 478 nt
Filed under: uncultured bacterium
Lineage: Bacteria
Description: partial 16S ribosomal RNA
Rfam family: Bacterial small subunit ribosomal RNA
Source: RNAcentral
GACGAACGCUGGCGGCGUGCUUAACACAUGCAAGUCGAACGGUAAGGCCCUUCGGGGUACACGAGUGGCGAACGGGUGAGUAACACGUGGGUGAUCUGCCCUGCACUUCGGGAUAAGCCUGGGAAACUGGGUCUAAUACCGGAUAGGACCACUGCCUGCAUGGGUGGUGGUGGAAAGCGUUUGCGGUGUGGGAUGGGCCCGCGGCCUAUCAGCGUGUUGGUGGGGUGAUGGCCUACCAAGGCGGCGACGGGUAGCUGGCCUGAGAGGGUGACCGGCCACACUGGGACUGAGAUACGGCCCAGACUCCUACGGGAUGCAGCAGUGGUGAAUAUUGCACAAUGGGCGCAAGCCUGAUGCAGCGACGCCGCGUGAGGGAUGACGGCCUUCGGGUUGUAAACCUCUUUCAGCACCGACGAAGCGCAAGUGACGGUAGGUGCAGAAGAAGGACCGGCCAACUACGUGCCAGCCGCCGCCGUAA